AUACAUGCAAGUCGUACGCUUCUUUUUCCACCGGAGCUUGCUCCACCGGAAAAAGAAGAGUGGCGAACGGGUGAGUAACACGUGGGUAACCUGCCCAUCAGAAGGGGAUAACACUUGGAAACAGGUGCUAAUACCGUAUAACAAUCGAAACCGCAUGGUUUUGAUUUGAAAGGCGCUUUCGGGUGUCGCUGAUGGAUGGACCCGCGGUGCAUUAGCUAGUUGGUGAGGUAACGGCUCACCAAGGCCACGAUGCAUAGCCGACCUGAGAGGGUGAUCGGCCACAUUGGGACUGAGACACGGCCCAAACUCCUACGGGAGGCAGCAGUAGGGAAUCUUCGGCAAUGGACGAAAGUCUGACCGAGCAACGCCGCGUGAGUGAAGAAGGUUUUCGGAUCGUAAAACUCUGUUGUUAGAGAAGAACAAGGAUGAGAGUAACUGUUCAUCCCUUGACGGUAUCUAACCAGAAAGCCACGGCUAACUACGUGCCAGCAGCCGCGGUAAUACGUAGGUGGCAAGCGUUGUCCGGAUUUAUUGGGCGUAAAGCGAGCGCAGGCGGUUUCUUAAGUCUGAUGUGAAAGCCCCCGGCUCAACCGGGGAGGGUCAUUGGAAACUGGGAGACUUGAGUGCAGAAGAGGAGAGUGGAAUUCCAUGUGUAGCGGUGAAAUGCGUAGAUAUAUGGAGGAACACCAGUGGCGAAGGCGGCUCUCUGGUCUGUAACUGACGCUGAGGCUCGAAAGCGUGGGGAGCAAACAGGAUUAGAUACCCUGGUAGUCCACGCCGUAAACGAUGAGUGCUAAGUGUUGGAGGGUUUCCGCCCUUCAGUGCUGCAGCUAACGCAUUAAGCACUCCGCCUGGGGAGUACGACCGCAAGGUUGAAACUCAAAGGAAUUGACGGGGGCCCGCACAAGCGGUGGAGCAUGUGGUUUAAUUCGAAGCAACGCGAAGAACCUUACCAGGGUCUUGGACAUCCCUUUGACCACUCU
RNAcentral lists this ribosomal RNA (983 nucleotides) under Enterococcus durans. RNAcentral's name for it is "bacterial SSU rRNA". It matches the Rfam family "Bacterial small subunit ribosomal RNA", at positions 51 to 1002 of the family's 1533-position model. The record is from RNAcentral. Lineage: Bacteria; Bacillati; Bacillota; Bacilli; Lactobacillales; Enterococcaceae.